Molecule: unclassified non-coding RNA, 771 nt
Filed under: Hevea brasiliensis (rubber tree)
Lineage: Eukaryota; Viridiplantae; Streptophyta; Magnoliopsida; Malpighiales; Euphorbiaceae
Source: RNAcentral
UUAAGAUGAUCAAGGGCUACAACUGAUCGAAUUUGCAAUUCAGGUCCUCUAUCAAUCGCCUUUUGCAUUAGGCAAACCGCAACCUCUCUCUCACGGCCAAUCGCACAUUUCACCAUCCAGAGCUUUGGAUCCCUGACAGAUGGCAAGAGAGCUUGCUGCUCAACAUCUGUUGCUUCCUCAUCAUACUCAACAUGAGGUGACCUCGCAUAUCUUUGCUUAAUGCUCCUCGUAAGCUCCUCAAGGUCUUCUUCUUGGUCCUCAUGCGGCAACAAUCGGUGACGAUAUUCACGUCUGGCACCAUCCUCGUCAGGAAUAUCUGCUCCACUAUCUACUAUGAAAUCAUCUUCGCCUUCUUCUUCCUCCUCAUCCUCAUCACUAUCUACAGCAGCUUCUAAGUCAAAAAACUCCGAACCAGUCCUCCGUUUAGGUCGUCUUCUCCCACCACCGCCUCCACCUCCACCGCCAUAAUCCUCAUCAUCAUCGUCCUCAUCCUCAUCGUCAUCUUCCUCCGCCGCAUCAUCAAUAAAAUCUGAUCUACGACGUUUCCGUCCAGCCUUCCCUCCAUCGUCCUCUUCCUCCUCGUCCUCCUCUUCAUACACGUCCUCUUCUUCCUCCUCUGGUUCAUCGUCAUCGUCGUCGUAGUCCCGGUGGCGCGGCAUAUCGGAAUUGCUUCGAAUUUGUAGAGUUGUGUUGAGUUAUAGAGAGAUUAUUCGAAAUCCUUAGGUCCAAGUGUUGAAAUGGGAAGGGUUCACUGGAUUGUAUAGGGUGAUG